Molecule: long non-coding RNA, 342 nt
Organism: Nannospalax galili (Upper Galilee mountains blind mole rat)
Lineage: Eukaryota; Metazoa; Chordata; Mammalia; Rodentia; Spalacidae
Exons: 3
Source: RefSeq, a predicted model, not a curated record
UCAGACAGUAGAAAGACAAAAGGACAUUUCAGUCUCUGGUCCAAAUCCCAAGUGCCUCCAACAGCGCUGUCUUCACGAACCAGGGUGGCAGACUUACAGGAGCAAAAUGCACUAGCUAUUGAACAAAGAUUGCCUCGCCAACGGAUCCCACCAUCCUCACCAUUCAACUCUCCGGCUGUGUUCUUCGGGCACAUAUUCCAAUGACUUGGUUCACCCCGUGUCUCCACAUAAGGAUUGACCAUCCAGGAGACGGAACCAUGGACACCCUCCUGACAGGGUGUCCCAUGACCGGAGACACCAUGUGGGCAUACGGCCAUGGCCUAAUGAACCACGGAAGUCCCC